CCUUGGUGAAUGCAGCCCAUACAAAUGCUUGUUGUAAUCCUGAAUAUGCAAUCAGGGGAAUGACCAGUAUCAUCCGAAUGUCAAGCAAAGGAGUGAUAACUNNNNNNNCAGUGAUAUCAGAGAAGAACAUAUGUUGACAGAAGAAUUUUCUAGUCCUUCCUCUCUUUUGGCAUCCCUUUUACUUAAGAAGCACAUUAGUAUGAUUCCUAAG
Molecule: unclassified non-coding RNA, 211 nt
Filed under: Hevea brasiliensis (rubber tree)
Lineage: Eukaryota; Viridiplantae; Streptophyta; Magnoliopsida; Malpighiales; Euphorbiaceae
Source: RNAcentral